This 233-nucleotide unclassified non-coding RNA is filed under the name plant metagenome. RNAcentral describes it as "partial contains small subunit ribosomal RNA, internal transcribed spacer 1, and 5.8S ribosomal RNA". The record is from RNAcentral.
UUUCCGUAGGUGAACCUGCGGAAGGAUCAUUAUUGGAUUUUGAAACUUCAGGCUGCUGCUGGCUCUCCUCGGAGGGCAUGUGCACGCUUGUUGUCCAUUAUUUCUCCCACUGUGCACAGAUUGUAGACCUUUCAGUAGGCCUAUGUUGUUUUUCACAAUCUCUGAAUGUAAUAGAAUGGUUUUGAAUCUUGGGAAAUACAAUACAACUUUCAGCAACGGAUCUCUUGGCUCUC